Molecule: long non-coding RNA, 392 nt
Organism: Clupea harengus (Atlantic herring)
Lineage: Eukaryota; Metazoa; Chordata; Actinopteri; Clupeiformes; Clupeidae
Source: Ensembl
UAUUGUUUUGUAUAUUUUGCAUUGUAUUGCAUAAUAAUACGGACAGUAAGUGCAGCCACUUCAUGACAUGAGCAGCAGACGUUCAAGGGGAGAUCAUCAGGUGGGCUUUUGGAGGAACAGGAACAGAAGCUGCUCCUGUGGAACAACAACACACAUUUUCAUUUAUUGUGCACAUUGGCAGGUAAACUGACCAGGCCUGACCAUCUCAUCAGUUCCUCCCCUGUGAGGGACAGCUGGCAUGAGGGGACUCUGCGCUUAUGUGCCUCUUUCCCAACUAAGGAGAAAUCACACUGAGACACAGGAGGAGACUGAGAGAAGUCACAGCUCAGCUCAACUGAGUCUCUCUCACUCAUCAUGUACGAAGACGCCCUCAGUGUGGGGGGAAACCCUGU